RNAcentral lists this small RNA (2266 nucleotides) under Pongo abelii (Sumatran orangutan). RNAcentral describes it as "retained intron". Lineage: Eukaryota; Metazoa; Chordata; Mammalia; Primates; Hominidae. The record is from RNAcentral.
AGGACCAACCUGGGCAGCAGAACCAAAGGGACUGAGGAAACAGACAGUGCUGGUACAAGUAUGCAAGUUUUCUGUAAACAGGAUACUUUCAAACAGUUGGGAGCCCCAGGGAGAUAAUAGAAGGUAUCCUACUCAACAGCAGUAUAGAAUGCUGUAGAAGAGGAAUAUUGUAAGAACAAGAACUAUCUCUUGAAAACUAAAAAUAUGAUAACUGAAAUAUAAAUUUAAAUAGGAUUGGAAGCUAAAGCUAGGAAAUUACCCUAGAACGUUUUUUGAGAAAUGGAAAAUAGGAAGACCAAAAAAAUAAAAUAAAACUAUGCUGUGAAAGAGAAAGAUUAGCAUUUGAGAAGGCGGAAGUUGGUCCUGCUCAGAUGCCUUGUUCUAAAAAUAGUGAUAGAAAACAAAUUUCUACAAAGCAGAAUUACAAAAAAUUUAUUAAACUCUUGCAACAAAGCUGUUUUCUUAUGUCUUCCUGUGUUUUCCUGCUGUCAUAUCAUUCAAUGUGAUGCUUAAGUUCUUCCUCCUUAAAAAUGUAAUAUAUUAUUUUUCCCUUUGCACAGGUAAUUUAGAGUUUUGAUUUAUUUGAUCAUCAUGAUAGCUAUUCCUGAUAGCUGUCCUGUUACUUAGACAUAAAAAUAGUGAGUAAGCCCAAUUACGUAUUUGUAGGGUUGUUGAACAAAGAAAUCACUUAUUUAAUUUUUCUACUUUUUAAAAUGGGAACGCAGAAUAAUAUUGAAAUUUGUUCUAAACCAAAAACCUACCUGUUUUACCAGUUAUUGCAGAAUCUUGCCGUUGAGAUUAGCAAGCAGUCUGUCGUAAUGGCUUAUUCUGUGCAAACUCUUUCCUCAAGAUUGUUGAAAGAUGGCUUUUAAUUUUAACCGUUGUUGUUUUGCAGACAAAGCUCUGAUGGCACCAAAUCUUGAUUCCUUUGGACGUGAUCGGGCACUGUAUCAAGAGCAUGCAAAACGUCGCAUUGCAGAGCGGGAGGCCAGGAGGACUCGUCGUAGACAAGCCAGAGAACAAACCGGUAAGAUGGCAGAUCACCUUGAAGGCCUUUCCAGUGAUGAUGAAGAAACUUCUACAGAUAUUACUAAUUUCAAUCUGGAAAAAGAUCGAAUUUCAAAAGAAUCCAGCAAAGUUUUUGAAGAUGUCCUUGAAAGUUUCUAUUCAAUUGACUGUAUUAAAUCACAGUUUGAAGCAUGGCGUUCAAAAUACUACACAUCCUACAAAGAUGCUUACAUUGGCCUUUGUUUGCCAAAAUUAUUCAACCCGCUCAUACGACUUCAGCUCCUCACUUGGACUCCUCUUGAGGCAAAAUGUCGUGACUUUGAGAAUAUGCUGUGGUUUGAAUCUUUGCUGUUUUAUGGUUGUGAAGAACGAGAGCAAGAAAAAGAUGAUGUAGAUGUUGCCCUACUACCUACCAUUGUGGAAAAGGUGAUUCUUCCUAAACUAACAGUGAUAGCUGAAAAUAUGUGGGACCCUUUUUCUACAACACAGACUUCAAGAAUGGUGGGAAUUACACUAAAAUUAAUCAAUGGAUAUCCUUCAGUAGUGAAUGCAGAAAAUAAAAAUACACAGGUAUACCUAAAGGCACUUUUAUUGAGAAUGAGAAGAACUUUAGAUGAUGAUGUAUUUAUGCCCUUAUAUCCCAAAAAUGUCUUAGAAAAUAAAAAUUCUGGGCCUUACUUGUUUUUUCAACGACAGUUUUGGUCUUCAGUUAAGCUGUUAGGCAAUUUUCUUCAGUGGUAUGGCAUUUUCUCAAAUAAAACUCUGCAAGAGUUAUCAAUAGAUGGUUUAUUAAAUCGAUAUAUUCUCAUGGCUUUUCAGAAUUCAGAAUAUGGAGAUGACAGCAUCAAAAAAGCCCAAAAUGUAAUCAAUUGUUUCCCCAAACAAUGGUUCAUGAAUCUGAAAGGAGAACGGACUAUUUCUCAGUUAGAAAACUUUUGCCGAUACCUUGUACACUUAGCAGAUACAAUUUAUAGAAAUAGUAUUGGGUGCUCUGAUGUGGAAAAAAGAAAUGCAAGGGAAAACAUAAAACAGAUAGUAAAACUCCUUGCAAGUGUUCGAGCUUUGGAUCAUGCUAUGUCUGUUGCAAGUGACCACAAUGUGAAAGAAUUUAAGUCUUUGAUCGAAGGAAAAUAGAUCUAUGAGACUGAAAAACCUAUUUGCUUGAUUACCAUUCCCAAUGUGUAAAUUUUGUAUAUAUGUAAAGUUUCUUAAACUGUAAAAUAGCAAUUCUUGUUUUAAUACAAAAAACAUUAUAUUC